This 346-nucleotide ribosomal RNA is filed under the name uncultured bacterium. Its description in RNAcentral is "partial 16S ribosomal RNA". It matches the Rfam family "Bacterial small subunit ribosomal RNA", at positions 338 to 701 of the family's 1533-position model. The record is from RNAcentral.
CCUACGGGGGACAGCAGUGGGGAAUAUUGCACAAUGGGGGAAACCCUGAUGCAGCGACGCCGCGUGAGUGAAGAAGGAUUUCGGGAUGUAAAGCCCUAUCAGCCGGGAAGAAAAUGACGGUAGCUGACUAAGAAGCGACGGCGAACUACGUGCCAGCAGCCGCGGUAAUCCGAAGGGGGCAAGCGUUAACCGGAGUGACUUGGUGUAAAGGGAGCGUAGAGGGCAGAGCAAGUCGGAAGUGAAAGCCAGCGGCCCAACUGCGGGACUGCUUUUGAAACUGCCCGGCUAGAGUGCUGGAGAGGUAAGCGGAAUUCCUAGUGUAGCGGUGAAAUGCGUAGCUAUUAGG